This 460-nucleotide ribosomal RNA is filed under the name uncultured bacterium. RNAcentral's name for it is "partial 16S ribosomal RNA". It matches the Rfam family "Bacterial small subunit ribosomal RNA", at positions 338 to 795 of the family's 1533-position model. The record is from RNAcentral.
UCUACGGGGGGCUGCAGUGAGGAAUAUUGGUCAAUGGACGAGAGUCUGAACCAGCCAAGUAGCGUGAAGGAUGACUGCCCUAUGGGUUGUAAACUUCUUUUAUAUGGGAAUAAAAUGUUCCACGUGUGGGAUUUUGUAUGUACCAUAUGAAUAAGGAUCGGCUACACCCGUGCAAUAAGCAGCGGUAAUACGGAGGAUCCGAGCGUUAUCCGGUGUUAUUGGGUUUAAAGGGAGCGUAGGUGGAUUGUUAAGUCAGUUGUGAAAGUUUGCGGCUCAACCGUCAAAUUGCAGUUGAAACUGGCAGUCUUGAGUACAGUAGAGGUGGGCGGAAUUCGUGGUGUAGCGGUGAAAUGCUGAGAUAUCACGAAGAACUCCGAUUGCGAAGGCAGCUCACUGGACUGCAACUGACACUGAGGCUCGAAAGUGUGGGUAUCAAACAGGAUUAGAUACCCUGGUAGUC